Molecule: ribosomal RNA, 449 nt
Filed under: uncultured bacterium
Lineage: Bacteria
Description: partial 16S ribosomal RNA
Rfam family: Bacterial small subunit ribosomal RNA
Source: RNAcentral
AACGAACGCUGGCGGCAGGCCUAACACAUGCAAGUCGAACGGGAUCUUCGGGUCUAGUGGCGGACGGGUGAGUAACGCGUGGGAACGUGCCCUUUGGUUCGGAAUAGCCCCGGGAAACUGGGAGUAAUACCGGAUAAGCCCUACGGGGGAAAGAUUUAUCGCCAAAGGAUCGGCCCGUGUUGGAUGAGGUAGUUGUUGGGGUAAUGGCUCACCAAGCCGACGAUCCAUAGCUGGUUUGGGAGGAUGGUCAGCCACAAUGGGACUGAGACACGGCCCAGCCUCCUACGGGGGGCAGCAGGGGGGAAUCUUAGACAAUGGGGGAAACCCUGAUCUAGCCAUGCCGCGUGAUCGAUGAAGGCCUUAGGGUUGUAAAGAUCUUUCAGUGGGAAAGAUAAUGACUGUACCCACAGAAGAAGCCCCGGCUAACUCCGUGCCAGCCGCCGCCGUAA